AGGAUGAACGCUGGCGGCGUGCUUAACACAUGCAAGUCACGGGGGCCCAGCAAUGGGUAACCGGCGAACGGGUGCGUAACACGUGAGCAACCUACCGAAAUGAGGGGGAUAGCCGGCCCAACGGCCGGGUAAUACCGCAUACGCUCGAGACCAGGCAUUUGGACUCGAGGAAACCUCCGGGGCAUUUCGAGGGGCUCGCGGCCUAUCAGCUAGUUGGUGAGGUAACGGCUCACCAAGGCGACGACGGGUAGCUGGUCUGAGAGGAUGGCCAGCCACAUUGGGACUGAGAUACGGCCCAGACUCCGUACGGGAGGCAGCGAGUGGGGAAUCCUGCGCAAUCGGACCUAACGGCUGACGCAGCGACGCCGCGUGAGGAUGACGCUCGUUCGGAGUACGUAAACCUUCUUUGCCUGAGACC
RNAcentral lists this ribosomal RNA (418 nucleotides) under uncultured soil bacterium. Its description in RNAcentral is "bacterial SSU rRNA". It matches the Rfam family "Bacterial small subunit ribosomal RNA", at positions 26 to 447 of the family's 1533-position model. The record is from RNAcentral.